Molecule: ribosomal RNA, 2900 nt
Filed under: Klebsiella pneumoniae
Lineage: Bacteria; Pseudomonadati; Pseudomonadota; Gammaproteobacteria; Enterobacterales; Enterobacteriaceae
Description: bacterial LSU rRNA
Rfam family: Bacterial large subunit ribosomal RNA
Source: RNAcentral
UUAAGCGACUAAGCGUACACGGUGGAUGCCCUGGCAGUCAGAGGCGAUGAAGGACGUGCUAAUCUGCGAAAAGCGUCGGUAAGGUGAUAUGAACCGUUAUAGCCGGCGAUGUCCGAAUGGGGAAACCCAGUGCAAUUCGUUGCACUAUCGUUAACUGAAUACAUAGGUUAACGAGGCGAACCGGGGGAACUGAAACAUCUAAGUACCCCGAGGAAAAGAAAUCAACCGAGAUUCCCCCAGUAGCGGCGAGCGAACGGGGAGCAGCCCAGAGUCUGAAUCAGCUUGUGUGUUAGUGGAACGGUCUGGAAAGUCCGACGGUACAGGGUGAUAGUCCCGUACACCAAAAUGCACAGGCUGUGAACUCGAAGAGUAGGGCGGGACACGUGGUAUCCUGUCUGAAUAUGGGGGGACCAUCCUCCAAGGCUAAAUACUCCUGACUGACCGAUAGUGAACCAGUACCGUGAGGGAAAGGCGAAAAGAACCCCGGCGAGGGGAGUGAAAAAGAACCUGAAACCGUGUACGUACAAGCAGUGGGAGCACCUUCGGGUGUGACUGCGUACCUUUUGUAUAAUGGGUCAGCGACUUAUAUUCUGUAGCAAGGUUAACCGUAUAGGGGAGCCGCAGGGAAACCGAGUCUUAACUGGGCGUUAAGUUGCAGGGUAUAGACCCGAAACCCGGUGAUCUAGCCAUGGGCAGGUUGAAGGUUGGGUAACACUAACUGGAGGACCGAACCGACUAAUGUUGAAAAAUUAGCGGAUGACUUGUGGCUGGGGGUGAAAGGCCAAUCAAACCGGGAGAUAGCUGGUUCUCCCCGAAAGCUAUUUAGGUAGCGCCUCGUGAACUCAUCUUCGGGGGUAGAGCACUGUUUCGGCUAGGGGGUCAUCCCGACUUACCAACCCGAUGCAAACUACGAAUACCGAAGAAUGUUAUCACGGGAGACACACGGCGGGUGCUAACGUCCGUCGUGAAGAGGGAAACAACCCAGACCGCCAGCUAAGGUCCCAAAGUCAUGGUUAAGUGGGAAACGAUGUGGGAAGGCACAGACAGCCAGGAUGUUGGCUUAGAAGCAGCCAUCAUUUAAAGAAAGCGUAAUAGCUCACUGGUCGAGUCGGCCUGCGCGGAAGAUGUAACGGGGCUAAACCAUGCACCGAAGCUGCGGCAGCGACACUAUGUGUUGUUGGGUAGGGGAGCGUUCUGUAAGCCUGCGAAGGUGACCUGUGAGGGUUGCUGGAGGUAUCAGAAGUGCGAAUGCUGACAUAAGUAACGAUAAAGCGGGUGAAAAGCCCGCUCGCCGGAAGACCAAGGGUUCCUGUCCAACGUUAAUCGGGGCAGGGUGAGUCGACCCCUAAGGCGAGGCCGAAAGGCGUAGUCGAUGGGAAACAGGUUAAUAUUCCUGUACUUGGUGUUACUGCGAAGGGGGGACGGAGAAGGCUAUGUUAGCCGGGCGACGGUUGUCCCGGUUUAAGCAUGUAGGCUGGUUAUCCAGGCAAAUCCGGAUAAUCAAGGCUGAGGUGUGAUGACGAGGCACUACGGUGCUGAAGUAACAAAUGCCCUGCUUCCAGGAAAAGCCUCUAAGCAUCAGGUAACAUCAAAUCGUACCCCAAACCGACACAGGUGGUCAGGUAGAGAAUACCAAGGCGCUUGAGAGAACUCGGGUGAAGGAACUAGGCAAAAUGGUGCCGUAACUUCGGGAGAAGGCACGCUGGUGUGUAGGUGAAGCCCCUGCGGGUGGAGCUGAGACCAGUCGAAGAUACCAGCUGGCUGCAACUGUUUAUUAAAAACACAGCACUGUGCAAACACGAAAGUGGACGUAUACGGUGUGACGCCUGCCCGGUGCCGGAAGGUUAAUUGAUGGGGUUAUCCGUAAGGAGAAGCUCUUGAUCGAAGCCCCGGUAAACGGCGGCCGUAACUAUAACGGUCCUAAGGUAGCGAAAUUCCUUGUCGGGUAAGUUCCGACCUGCACGAAUGGCGUAAUGAUGGCCAGGCUGUCUCCACCCGAGACUCAGUGAAAUUGAACUCGCUGUGAAGAUGCAGUGUACCCGCGGCAAGACGGAAAGACCCCGUGAACCUUUACUAUAGCUUGACACUGAACAUUGAGCCUUGAUGUGUAGGAUAGGUGGGAGGCUUUGAAGCGUGGACGCCAGUCUGCGUGGAGCCAACCUUGAAAUACCACCCUUUAAUGUUUGAUGUUCUAACGUUGGCCCCUGACCGGGGUUGCGGACAGUGUCUGGUGGGUAGUUUGACUGGGGCGGUCUCCUCCCAAAGCGUAACGGAGGAGCACGAAGGUUAGCUAAUCCUGGUCGGACAUCAGGAGGUUAGUGCAAUGGCAUAAGCUAGCUUGACUGCGAGCGUGACGGCGCGAGCAGGUGCGAAAGCAGGUCAUAGUGAUCCGGUGGUUCUGAAUGGAAGGGCCAUCGCUCAACGGAUAAAAGGUACUCCGGGGAUAACAGGCUGAUACCGCCCAAGAGUUCAUAUCGACGGCGGUGUUUGGCACCUCGAUGUCGGCUCAUCACAUCCUGGGGCUGAAGUAGGUCCCAAGGGUAUGGCUGUUCGCCAUUUAAAGUGGUACGCGAGCUGGGUUUAGAACGUCGUGAGACAGUUCGGUCCCUAUCUGCCGUGGGCGCUGGAGAAUUGAGGGGGGCUGCUCCUAGUACGAGAGGACCGGAGUGGACGCAUCACUGGUGUUCGGGUUGUCAUGCCAAUGGCACUGCCCGGUAGCUAAAUGCGGAAGAGAUAAGUGCUGAAAGCAUCUAAGCACGAAACUUGCCCCGAGAUGAGUUCUCCCUGAGACUUUAAGUCUCCUGAAGGAACGUUAAAGACGAUGACGUUGAUAGGCCGGGUGUGUAAGCGCAGCGAUGCGUUGAGCUAACCGGUACUAAUGAACCGUGAGGCUUAACCUU